This 3022-nucleotide ribosomal RNA is filed under the name Nitrospirales bacterium. Its description in RNAcentral is "23S ribosomal RNA". It matches the Rfam family "Bacterial large subunit ribosomal RNA". The record is from RNAcentral. Lineage: Bacteria; Pseudomonadati; Nitrospirota; Nitrospiria; Nitrospirales.
UAAAGAAUCAAGGGUGUACGGUGGAUGCCUUGGUAUCAGGAAGCGAUGAAGGGCGUGGUUAGCUGCGAUAAGCCUCGGGGAGCCGCCAGCAGGUUGUGAUCCGAGGAUGCCCGAAUGGGGAAACCCGCCAGAGGGAAUGCUCUGGCAUUGGCAACUGAAUAUAUAGGUUGUCAAAGCGAACUCAGGGAAGUGAAACAUCUCAGUACCUGAAGGAAGAGAAAGCAAUUGCGAUUCCCGUAGUAGCGGCGAGCGAACUGGGAUCAGCCCAAACCAUGUGUAUGUGAUAGCCCUUACGCGUUGUACAUGUGGGGUUGUAGGCGUUUUCCAGGCGAUGGUAAGGCAUUGCCGAAGAGUCACAAACUAAACACGUAGUUGAACGAUUUGGAAUCAUCGGCCAAAGAAGGUGAAAGCCCUGUAAAUAAAACGUGUUUAGCUCUUUGGGAAAAUGUCCUGAGUACCACGGGACACGAGAAACCCUGUGGGAAUCUGGGAGGACCACCUUCCAAGGCUAAAUAUUCCCUGAUGACCGAUAGUGAACAAGUACCGUGAGGGAAAGGUGAAAAGAACCCCGGUGAGGGGAGUGAAAUAGAACCUGAAACCGUACACCUACAAGCUGCAGGAGGGCAAUACUUCGGUUACCGAAGGAGGCCUGACUGUGUGCCUUUUGUUUAAUGAGCCGGCGAGUUAUAUGGAGCAGCAAGGUUAAAUCGACGAGAUGGAGCCGCAGCGAAAGCGAGUCUUAAAUGGGCGACAAGUUGCUUUAUAUAGACCCGAAGCGAGGUGAUCUACUCAUGGCCAGGCUGAAAUUUCGUUAACCCGAAAUGGAGGGCCGAACCGAUGUCUGUUGCAAAAGGCUCGGAUGAGCUGUGAGUGGGAGUGAAAGGCUAAUCAAACCUCGUGAUAGCUGGUUCUCCCCGAAAUAGCUUGAGGGCUAGCCUCUUCUGAACCGUGACGGAGGUAGAGCACUGGAUGGGCUAGGGGCGUUAGCGCGCUACUGAACCCAACCAAACUCCGAAUGCCGUUACUGGAUAGAAGGGAGUCAGACUACGGGCGCUAAGGUCCGUGGUCGAGAGGAAAACAGUCCAGACCGUCAGCUAAGGUCCCUAAGAAUAGGUUAAGUGGAGAAGGUUGUAGAAUUGCACUAACAGCCAGGAAGUUGGCUUAGAAGCAGCCAUCCUUUAAAGAAAGCGUAAUAGCUCACUGGUCAAGCGAUUCCGCGCCGAAAAUUCAACGGGGCUCAAAUCUAUCACCGAAGCUACGGACUUUUAUUCGAUCUUUGAUUGAAUGAAAUUGGUAGGGGAGCAUUCUCUAAAAGGUGAAGGUUAAUCGACAAGAAUAGCUGGAUUUUAGAGAAGUGAUGAUGCCGGCAUAAGUAGCGAUAAAAGACGUGAGAAUCGUCUUCGCCGAAAACCUAAGGUUUCCUGGGCUAUGUUCGUCAUCUCAGGGUUAGUCGGUCCCUAAGCCGAGACCGAAAGGUGUAGGUAAUGGGAAACAGGUCAAUAUUCCUGUACCACCAGGGUUGCGUUAACAGUGAAGGGGGGACGCAGAAGGGAAGGCACCGCCGGGUGUUGGAUAUCCCGGUCCAAGCCUGUAGGAGGAGUGUCUAGGCAAAUCCGGACACUCAGUACUCCGAGGGGUUAUGGGGAGGCCGUCAGGCCAUAAACGGGCCGUACCACGCUGCCAAGAAAAGCCUCGUAGCGAGUAACCAGGGUGACCGUACCGCAAACCGACACAGGUAGGUAGGUAGAGUAUACUAAGGCGCGUGAGAGAAUACUCGCUAAGGAACUCUGCAAAUUAGCCCCGUAACUUCGGAAGAAGGGGUGCCUCCAUUAGGUGACGGGUCUCGCAUCCGAAGCCGAAGGAGGUCGCAGUAAAGUGGCUCUGGCGACUGUUUAUCAAAAACACAGGACUCUGCAAAGUCGUAAGACGACGUAUAGGGUCUGAUGCCUGCCCGGUGCUGGAAGGUUAACAGGAGAGGUUAGCCGCAAGGCGAAGCUUUGAAUCGAAGCCCCAGUAAACGGCGGCCGUAACUAUAACGGUCCUAAGGUAGCGAAAUUCCUUGUCGGGUAAGUUCCGACCUGCAUGAAUGGCAUAACGACUGGAGCGCUGUCUCAGCGAGUAACUCAGCGAACUUGAAGACCCGGUGAAGAUGCCGGGUACCCGCGACUAGACGGAAAGACCCCGUGCACCUUUACUACAGCUUGGCAUUGAGUUGUGGGCAGGUAUGUGUAGGAUAGGUGGGAGACUGUGAAGCUGUGGCGCUAGCUGCGGUGGAGUCAAUCUUGAAAUACCACCCUUGCAUGUCUGCUAUUCUAACCUAGCUCCAUCAUCUGGAGCAGGAACAGUGCCUGGUGGGUAGUUUGACUGGGGCGGUCGCCUCCCAAAAUGUAACGGAGGCGCCCAAAGGUUUCCUCAGGCUGGUCGGCAAUCAGCCGUAGAGUGUAAAGGCAAAAGGGAGCUUCACUGCAAGACUGACAGGUCGAGCAGGGACGAAAGUCGGGCUUAGUGAUCCGGUGGUUCUGUGUGGAAGGGCCAUCGCUCAUCGGAUAAAAGGUACGCCGGGGAUAACAGGCUGAUCUCCCCCAAGAGUUCAUAUCGACGGGGAGGUUUGGCACCUCGAUGUCGGCUCAUCGCAUCCUGGGGCUGAAGCCGGUCCCAAGGGUUUGGCUGUUCGCCAAUUAAAGCGGUACGCGAGCUGGGUUCAGAACGUCGUGAGACAGUUCGGUCCCUAUCUGUCGUGGGCGUUGGAGAUUUGAGAGGUGCCGUCCCUAGUACGAGAGGACUGGGAUGGACAGACCUCUGGUGUGCCGGUUGUCGCGCCAGCGGCAGCGCCGGGUAGCUACGUCUGGUUCGGAUAACCGCUGAAAGCAUCUAAGCGGGAAGCCGUCCUCAAGAUAAGAUCUCCCGGAGGGUUUAACCCUCCCUCAAGGCCUCUGGUAGACCACCAGUUUGAUAGGCUGGAGGUGGAAGGGUCGUAAGAUCUGAAGCUAACCAGUACUAAUCGGCCGUGCGUUUUAGAUUC